UACAGAGGUCUCAAGCGUUGUUCGGAUUCAUUGGGCGUAAAGGGCGCGUAGGCGGCUUUGUAAGUCACUUGUGCAAUCUCUGAGCUUAACUCAGAACGGCCAAGUGAUACUGCAAUGCUAGAGUAUUGGAGGGGCAAUCGGAAUUCUUGGUGGAGCGGUGAAAUGCGUAGAGAUCAAGAGGAACACCUGAGGUGAAGACGGGUUGCUGGCCAAAUACUGACGCUGAGGCGCGAAAGCCAGGGGAGCAAACGGG
Molecule: ribosomal RNA, 253 nt
Filed under: uncultured bacterium
Lineage: Bacteria
Description: partial 16S ribosomal RNA
Rfam family: Bacterial small subunit ribosomal RNA
Source: RNAcentral